GGAUAUAACGAACCUAACGGUAAUUCAAUGCUCAUCGCCAGAAGCUUGCAGGUGUGCGUCCUCCCCAUAAACUGCUAAAGGUACGGAUGAUGCGCGGAGGUGUGACCAACCAUUAAAAUAUCAAAUUUCCAGAAGAAUGAUGGUCCAGU
Caenorhabditis elegans is the source of this 149-nucleotide non-coding RNA. The record is from Ensembl. Lineage: Eukaryota; Metazoa; Nematoda; Chromadorea; Rhabditida; Rhabditidae.